Molecule: transfer RNA, 73 nt
Filed under: Stegodyphus mimosarum
Lineage: Eukaryota; Metazoa; Arthropoda; Arachnida; Araneae; Eresidae
Rfam family: tRNA
About the family: Transfer RNA (tRNA) molecules are approximately 80 nucleotides in length. Their secondary structure includes four short double-helical elements and three loops (D, anti-codon, and T loops).
Source: Rfam by way of RNAcentral
GCCUUUGUGGUGUAGUAGUCAGCAUACUCGGCUCUAAUUCGAGAGGUGUGUGGUUCGAGCCCCGGCGAAGGCA